This 313-nucleotide ribosomal RNA is filed under the name uncultured eukaryote. Its description in RNAcentral is "partial 18S ribosomal RNA". It matches the Rfam family "Eukaryotic small subunit ribosomal RNA", at positions 1470 to 1796 of the family's 1831-position model. The record is from RNAcentral.
CCCUUAGAUGUCCUGGGCCGCACGCGCGUUACACUGAUGCAUUCAACGAGCCUAUAACCUUGGCCGAGAGGCCUGGGCAAUCUUGUUAACGUGCAUCGUGAUAGGGAUAGAUUAUUGAAAUUAUUAAUCUUGAACGAGGAAUUCCUAGUAAACGCAGAUCAUCAAUCUGCAUUGAUUACGUCCCUGCCCUUUGUACACACCGCCCGUCGCACCUACCGAUUGGGUGAGCCGAUGAAACUCUCGGAUGUAGGCUAUUCAUAGCCCGCAGAAGAGAUUUGAAUCGUAGCGCUUAGAGGAAGGAGAAGUCGUAACA